RNAcentral lists this ribosomal RNA (241 nucleotides) under uncultured bacterium. RNAcentral's name for it is "partial 16S ribosomal RNA". It matches the Rfam family "Bacterial small subunit ribosomal RNA", at positions 104 to 334 of the family's 1533-position model. The record is from RNAcentral.
CGGCGGGACGGGGUGGAGUAACGCGUGGGUGACCUGCCCACUACCGGGGAGUAACAGCUGGAAACGGAUGCUAAUACCGCAUAAGCGCACAGAGCUGCAUGGCUCGGUGUGAAAAACUCCGGUGGUAUGGGAUGGGCCCGCGUCUGAUUAGGCAGUUGGCGGGGUAACGGCCCACCAAACCGACGAUCAGUAGCCGGCCUGAGAGGGCGACCGGCCACAUUGGGACUGAGACACGGCCCAA